RNAcentral lists this ribosomal RNA (497 nucleotides) under uncultured bacterium. RNAcentral's name for it is "partial 16S ribosomal RNA". It matches the Rfam family "Bacterial small subunit ribosomal RNA", at positions 28 to 507 of the family's 1533-position model. The record is from RNAcentral.
GAUGAACGCUGGCGGCGUGCCUAAUACAUGCAAGUCGAGCGAACGGACGAGAAGCUUGCUUCUCUGAUGUUAGCGGCGGACGGGUGAGUAACACGUGGAUAACCUACCUAUAAGACUGGGAUAACUUCGGGAAACCGGAGCUAAUACCGGAUAAUAUUUUGAACCGCAUGGUUCAAAAGUGAAAGACGGUCUUGCUGUCACUUAUAGAUGGAUCCGCGCUGCAUUAGCUAGUUGGUAAGGUAACGGCUUACCAAGGCAACGAUGCAUAGCCGACGUGAGAGGGUGAUCGGCCACACUGGAACUGAGACACGGUCCAGAGUCCUACGGGAGGCAGCAGUAGGGAAUCUUCCGCAAUGGGCGAAAGCCUUACGGAGCAACGCCGCGUGAGUGAUGAAGGUCUUCGGAUCGUAAAACUCUGUUAUUAGUGAAGAACAGAUGUGUAAGUAACUGUGCACAUCGUGACGGUACCUAAUCAGAAAGCCACGGCUAACUACGUG